Peromyscus maniculatus bairdii (prairie deer mouse) is the source of this 3329-nucleotide non-coding RNA. NCBI's taxonomy places the organism in Eukaryota, Metazoa, Chordata, Mammalia, Rodentia, Cricetidae. The record is from RefSeq and is a predicted model, not a curated record.
GCUCCACCGACUGCGUCAGAGACUCUGGAGUCAGACCCUGACACCCCUGUUUCCAGAGGUCCUCAAGGUGACUCCAGUACUGGAUGACAGGAACGCACAUGUGUGAAAAGUGCCACCUGCAUGCACAGAAAGAGAACCUGCCACCUUGUUUGAAAUGCCACCUGCAGGAGAUGCUUCCGCAGCUCAGCUAUGAGACCCUUGAUUCCUGAGCAUAAUUACAACUCCUGGGAAACACCAAGGCGCAGCCCUACUAGAGAGACAGCUCACUGAUCAAGCAUUAUUUUUAACAAGAAGCUCACCCAGGAUGGAGAAAGAAGAAAGGUGGACAACAUUUCCAUUCAAGCUCCACAUAUGAGAAUUCUCAAGAAAGGAAGGCAGCUCUAGCCCUGGUCCGAGACAACUGUUGUCCUUGAAAGCCCGGCUUGACUGUCUCAUCCCUGCGCACCUGCAGGUGUGACCUGGCCUGGGAUCUGCAGCCCGGCUGUCUUGGACACGGCUGUAGGGACAGCUUACCGCACAACUGAGAUCUAUGCACAGUCAAUGAGCAUGUCCGGGGAAAUGAGUCGGUGGGGUAGACCUUUUACCAUCCCCUUGAAGCAAACUGAUGGCUCUUUUGUGCCGUGGUAGGAAGCCUCAAGUCACCUCAGGAUCUCUCUUUACGUGUCUCUUGUCUCCUCUCCUGUAUUGCCAAGCCCUAACCAGAGCUGGGCAACUGGUUCACAUUUCAGGACUGUCUUGUAGAUGGGUGGUUAAGGGUACCAAGGGCCCAGGGAAGAGUUUUGGAGCAUUCCACUAGCAUCUGUGUGUAGGAACAGUUUUUAGGAUGUUUAACUAUGAAAGCAUGCAGCUUUAAAAAUGACAGUCCAUCACACCUGAAUGUAGCUAACAAGUUCACCAUCAGUCCUCCUGUGAGGGAAAGAAUUUAACUGAAGAAAAUCCGGUGACUUGAGAGAUGCCAACAUUUUCCACAAUCCCAAUCCAGCAAUAGUUGGUGUGAAGGACAUGACACAAUAGUCUGUGAGAAAUGUCUUUCUUGGUUAUGUAUCAAUAACUCAGUUAAGAUGACGUGUAAAACAGUGGGGAAGCGGGCUUGGAGAACAGUGGAGGACACCUAACGAAGCAGUUCUCUAACACAAUGCUAAUUAACUGCACACGUAAAAACCAUAGGCUUUCUUAGAAAAAGCUACCCUCAUCUACAAAAACCUAAAAUAUAAAAAAUCCUUAUUAUUAUAAAUAUGACUUAAAUACGUAGCCAAUGGGGUUUCCAGUUAAAUCAAAGUAAUGUUAUUCCAUAGUGAGUUUUAAAUUCUGAAAAGGCAUUGCAGAUAUUUACAAAUCUGUCCUACAAUAAAAAUUCAGUACAAACACAUGUAUUUACUGAUAAUGAAACAUAUUAAUAAGGAGGGGAGGGAGAGAAAAAACAGCUCAAAGCCACUGGGUGCUGGAAAGCGGAAACCGAUCUCCUUAGUACAGUCGAUACAAAGGAAUUAGAGGAGACACCGAUCAGACCGGGGAUUUGGCGAGGGUGACCAGUCUAAUCCUCCUUGCUGUGCCUCAACAAAUCCACAGCAGAAUUUAACAUGAGAGCUGCAGGCUGUGUGCACCUGACUUCCUCUCCCUUUCUAGUGGGCCAGGUGCCAGGGCCGGGGCGGAGGCCAAGUUCCUGACUUCGGGACAUCACUGUCCAUCUCCUCUUGCUGGCGUCUUACAAAUGUCUCUGAGAGGAAAGGAACAGCGAUCCGUCACUGAGCCUUUGAGAAGCCUGGAGUCUCUCGGCACUUUUCCUAAACGGCCUCCAGUGGGAGAGUGAGGCCGAGUGACUGCUAGUCAGUGUCCGUCAGCCACGAGAAAACCGAGACCUCAGAGGCAGACAUCACCUGAAACCCACAGCUGCAAUGUUUUCCAAGCUAUGGGACUUGCCGUAUGUGAAAUCCUUUUACCCGGAGCCAGAAGGUAUGUCUCGUCAGGACUCUCAAUAUUUCUGAUUACCAGGGAGAAGCCUCCUAGCUCACUCUUUAGUAAUUAUUUGCCUCCUCGGUGCCCGGGGAGCAGACUGCAGGUGCACCAGAGGCUCUCAAUAAUACAAGCUGCGGUUGGCAUCUCACCACGUUAGUUUUUAAUCUAGAGCAAGUUAGAGGGUUUUCAUUUAGGGUACUCAUAUGGGCUUCUAAAUAGGAAAAUGGACAGGCUUAAAGGAAGAGAUGAAGCUAACACAGUGUACUGCAGAGACCUGACAGAAAUCAGAGGGACAACCCUUGAUCACUGGUGAAUUUCUUCUCUCUCCUGUGCCACGUCAGUGGCAUUUUGUUGUGACAAUCAACUUUUCAAAGCAGGAGUUAGAGAAAACAACAACAACAACAACAACAACAUACUCUUCUGCCUGGAUCGAGUCGACUGGAGCCACAUAAUUGCUCGGAAUGUAACCAGUUUCUCCCGUUGUCAAGGAGCGGGCUUCCCACCAGUCUCCUUCCCUGCAAAGGAAGAAGAGGAGAGACGUGACUGCAUCAUCCAUGCGGCGGCGGCGCUCUGCAGUCAGAUUCGAUGCAGCCAUCAGCCCUCGGCCGUGCAGUUCUGCAGUCCUGCCCCCCUUCUGCAGACUAACACCGGCCCUAAGGAGGCCACAUGGCUUACAACCCAGACCACCCUGAACUGAAGCCAGGGCUGCCUCUUGCCUUCUGGGGAAAUUAUGCAGCUGAACCGGUCCUUUCUGUAACAGAGGAAGACGCCAGGGGUUUGACUUGGCUGUGACCAGCAUGUUCCUGCCCUGCAACCCGAAUAGAGACGCCGUCACCACGAGUGUGCUCAGAGGGCCACAGCCGCACAUGCUUCUCUCUACCCCUUCUAUUACUUACUUCCGAGGCUUACAGAGUUUCAAAUUUCUGGUUGAUCUUGCCAUUUGAAGAAUACUGUACAACUGGGGAGGUGGAUACAAACCCCGUCAACAGACUGACAAGAAGCGUUCAUCUGGGAAUCAAACUAACGAUGAGCGAUCACAAAUGGGAAGAGAGCCAAGCCAAAUUCCCUCUCUGACUCUCCAGCCAACAUUCUAACUCUUUUACCGACAGAUACUUCAGCUACGGUGGACGGCAGCAGCCGGGCUUUUCCGAGGUCCCAUCAGACACUGCACUCGGAAUUCUGAACCUUCAUUUCCCCCGGGCUUUGCCACCUGCCAGGACUGUGCCCUGGGCUCCCUAACCUGUGCCCUCCCGCUCUCAGAUGUCACCUAACGACUGCGACACAUCCUGGACAGCUGCUGCGAAGAAUCAAUGACAGCAAUUGCAGCAGCACAUGGUCAGCACCCGGGAGCCUUCAAUAACCGGCAGCUGUUG